RNAcentral lists this ribosomal RNA (468 nucleotides) under uncultured bacterium. RNAcentral's name for it is "partial 16S ribosomal RNA". It matches the Rfam family "Bacterial small subunit ribosomal RNA", at positions 28 to 507 of the family's 1533-position model. The record is from RNAcentral.
GACGAACGCUGGCGGCGUGCUUAACACAUGCAAGUCGAACGGAAAGGCCCUGCUUUUGUGGGGUGCUCGAGUGGCGAACGGGUGAGUAACACGUGAGUAACCUGCCCUUGACUUUGGGAUAACUUCAGGAAACUGGGGCUAAUACCGGAUAGGAGCUCCUGCUGCAUGGUGGGGGUUGGAAAGUUUCGGCGGUUGGGGAUGGACUCGCGGCUUAUCAGCUUGUUGGUGGGGUAGUGGCUUACCAAGGCUUUGACGGGUAGCCGGCCUGAGAGGGUGACCGGCCACAUUGGGACUGAGAUACGGCCCAGACUCCUACGGGAGGCAGCAGUGGGGAAUAUUGCACAAUGGGCGGAAGCCUGAUGCAGCAACGCCGCGUGCGGGAUGACGGCCUUCGGGUUGUAAACCGCUUUCGCCUGUGACGAAGAGUGAGUGACGGUAAUGGGUAAAGAAGAACAGGAUAACUACGUG